UAAAAUUGUGGCUGACAAGAGCCUUCUUUGAUUCUUUCAACAGACAUGAAGGCACAGAUGUUUCAGGACACCCUUGGACACACAGCCAUGGCCUCUGCUGCAACCCCGGACCCUGACCAGUGGCCAUGCUCCAUGCAAAGAGCCCUGAGAGAAGGCCCAAAUCAGAAUUGGUCCAGACAUGAAGGCACAGAUGUUUCAGGACACCCUUGGACACACAGCCAUGGCCUCUGCUGCAACCCCGGACCCUGACCAGUGGCCAUGCUCCAUGCAAAGAGCCCUGAGAGAAGGCCCAAAUCAGAAUUGGUCCAGACAUGAAGGCACAGAUGUUUCAGGACACCCUUGGACACACAGCCAUGGCCUCUGCUGCAACCCCGGACCCUGACCAGUGGCCAUGCUCCAUGCAAAGAGCCCUGAGAGAAGGCCCAAAUCAGAAUUGGUCCAGACAUGAAGGCACAGAUGUUUCAGGACACCCUUGGACACACAGCCAUGGCCUCUGCUGCAACCCCGGACCCUGACCAGUGGCCAUGCUCCAUGCAAAGAGCCCUGAGAGAAGGCCCAAAUCAGAAUUGGUCCAGACAUGAAGGCACAGAUGUUUCAGGACACCCUUGGACACACAGCCAUGGCCUCUGCUGCAACCCCGGACCCUGACCAGUGGCCAUGCUCCAUGCAAAGAGCCCUGAGAGAAGGCCCAAAUCAGAAUUGGUCCAGACAUGAAGGCACAGAUGUUUCAGGACACCCUUGGACACACAGCCAUGGCCUCUGCUGCAACCCCGGACCCUGACCAGUGGCCAUGCUCCAUGCAAAGAGCCCUGAGAGAAGGCCCAAAUCAGAAUUGGUCCAGACAUGAAGGCACAGAUGUUUCAGGACACCCUUGGACACACAGCCAUGGCCUCUGCUGCAACCCCGGACCCUGACCAGUGGCCAUGCUCCAUGCAAAGAGCCCUGAGAGAAGGCCCAAAUCAGAAUUGGUCCAGACAUGAAGGCACAGAUGUUUCAGGACACCCUUGGACACACAGCCAUGGCCUCUGCUGCAACCCCGGACCCUGACCAGUGGCCAUGCUCCAUGCAAAGAGCCCUGAGAGAAGGCCCAAAUCAGAAUUGGUCCAGACAUGAAGGCACAGAUGUUUCAGGACACCCUUGGACACACAGCCAUGGCCUCUGCUGCAACCCCGGACCCUGACCAGUGGCCAUGCUCCAUGCAAAGAGCCCUGAGAGAAGGCCCAAAUCAGAAUUGGUCCAGACAUGAAGGCACAGAUGUUUCAGGACACCCUUGGACACACAGCCAUGGCCUCUGCUGCAACCCCGGACCCUGACCAGUGGCCAUGCUCCAUGCAAAGAGCCCUGAGAGAAGGCCCAAAUCAGAAUUGGUCCAGACAUGAAGGCACAGAUGUUUCAGGACACCCUUGGACACACAGCCAUGGCCUCUGCUGCAACCCCGGACCCUGACCAGUGGCCAUGCUCCAUGCAAAGAGCCCUGAGAGAAGGCCCAAAUCAGAAUUGGUCCAGACAUGAAGGCACAGAUGUUUCAGGACACCCUUGGACACACAGCCAUGGCCUCUGCUGCAACCCCGGACCCUGACCAGUGGCCAUGCUCCAUGCAAAGAGCCCUGAGAGAAGGCCCAAAUCAGAAUUGGUCCAGACAUGAAGGCACAGAUGUUUCAGGACACCCUUGGACACACAGCCAUGGCCUCUGCUGCAACCCCGGACCCUGACCAGUGGCCAUGCUCCAUGCAAAGAGCCCUGAGAGAAGGCCCAAAUCAGAAUUGGUCCAGACAUGAAGGCACAGAUGUUUCAGGACACCCUUGGACACACAGCCAUGGCCUCUGCUGCAACCCCGGACCCUGACCAGUGGCCAUGCUCCAUGCAAAGAGCCCUGAGAGAAGGCCCAAAUCAGAAUUGGUCCAGACAUGAAGGCACAGAUGUUUCAGGACACCCUUGGACACACAGCCAUGGCCUCUGCUGCAACCCCGGACCCUGACCAGUGGCCAUGCUCCAUGCAAAGAGCCCUGAGAGAAGGCCCAAAUCAGAAUUGGUCCAGACAUGAAGGCACAGAUGUUUCAGGACACCCUUGGACACACAGCCAUGGCCUCUGCUGCAACCCCGGACCCUGACCAGUGGCCAUGCUCCAUGCAAAGAGCCCUGAGAGAAGGCCCAAAUCAGAAUUGGUCCAGCACUAUGAAGGUGGCCCAGAUCCAGCUGCCUAGAGGUCCAACCAAGAGAUGAUCUGUGUUCAAGAGCACCAAAGACCUUCGGCCUUGCCUGUCCGCGGUUGUGCUCUAGCCUAAAAAAUAGGAGCUAUCACAAGAAUCCAGACCUGUGUCUGAGUGAUUGUCAUUCUGUCUGCACACAAGACCUCAGCUGGGACAUAGGACAGUGUUGAGGCAGCGGAGGCCCAGUGUGAGCCUGUCCUCUGGCACAUGACUGGCCCUCAGUGCCCUGCCCAGUCUUUUACCUAGAUUUCACGUAGGCAGAAAUGACUGUGUGCUAGAACUCCCUGGGUACAGGAGCAGGGUUCAGGUACUGCUGCUUCAGGCCUCUUAUCUCUCACUGGUGGGCAGAUGGCAGGGUUGGUGUUAGGAAACGGAGUCAUGAGUGUAAGGAAAGAUCAAGCGGAUGAAAGGGGAGAAGGAAGGCAGAUACUUCAGUGAGACAUCCAGACCAAGAAAUUCAUCUUUAGUCCUAGGUGAAGAGGCUAAGCCAUCCCAAGUGACAGGAACUGAGGAUAACAGGAGCCAAAAGGGACUUGACCUUUGCAAAAGAAAGGAAUGAGGAAGACCAGCACAAAAUUCCAGAGAGAGAGAAAUUUAAGGUAAAUUAAGGAGUUGAAUGGGUAUGCAGUAAAUACUAGUUAUACCCCAAACCAAGAAUUAAAC
This is a long non-coding RNA of Perognathus longimembris pacificus (Pacific pocket mouse), 2873 nucleotides long. RefSeq lists it as uncharacterized. The record is from RefSeq and is a predicted model, not a curated record. The transcript is spliced from 17 exons. Lineage: Eukaryota; Metazoa; Chordata; Mammalia; Rodentia; Heteromyidae.